Molecule: ribosomal RNA, 468 nt
Filed under: uncultured bacterium
Lineage: Bacteria
Description: partial 16S ribosomal RNA
Rfam family: Bacterial small subunit ribosomal RNA
Source: RNAcentral
GACGAACGCUGGCGGCGUGCUUAACACAUGCAAGUCGAACGGAAAGGCCCUGCUUUUGUGGGGUGCUCGAGUGGCGAAUGGGUGAGUAACACGUGAGUAACCUGCCCUUGACUUUGGGAUAACUUCAGGAAACUGGGGCUAAUACCGGAUAGGAGCUCCUGCUGCAUGGUGGGGGUUGGAAAGUUUCGGCGGUUGGGGAUGGACUCGCGGCUUAUCAGCUUGUUGGUGGGGUAGUGGCUUACCAAGGCUUUGACGGGUAGCCGGCCUGAGAGGGUGACCGGCCAAAUUGGGACUGAGAUACGGCCCAGACUCCUACGGGAGGCAGCAGUGGGGAAUAUUGCACAAUGGGCGGAAGCCCGAUGCAGCAACGCCGCGUGCGGGAUGACGGCCUUCGGGUUGUAAACCGCUUUCGCCUGUGACGAAGCGUGAGUGACGGUAAUGGGUAAAGAAGCACCGGCUAACUACGUG